Molecule: small nucleolar RNA, 102 nt
Organism: Capsella rubella
Lineage: Eukaryota; Viridiplantae; Streptophyta; Magnoliopsida; Brassicales; Brassicaceae
Rfam family: Small nucleolar RNA snoR27
Source: Rfam
AUUGGAUCGAUGAUUUAUAAGUUUAAAUACUGCGUUAUCUUUCUGCAAAUGUCCUCUUUUUAAGGAUUUGAAGAUAAACUAUAAAAACAGCUGAGAUCCAAU